This 133-nucleotide ribosomal RNA is filed under the name uncultured bacterium. Its description in RNAcentral is "partial 16S ribosomal RNA". It matches the Rfam family "Bacterial small subunit ribosomal RNA", at positions 400 to 525 of the family's 1533-position model. The record is from RNAcentral.
CGUGAGUGAUGAAGGUCUUCAGGAUCGUAAAACUCUGUUAUUAGGGAAGACAUACAUGUAAGUAACUGUGCACGUCUUGACGGUACCUAAUCAGAAAGCCACGGCUAACUACAUGCCAGCAGCCGCGGUAAUA